CACUUUAGUAUUAAGCCCUUUGGUUUAACAAUAUGAAGUGAUUAAUCUUAGCAAUCAUGCUAAUUAACAGGCUACAACCUGUUCAUUUGAAUUCACCUGUGUUCAAUUGCUCGAUGCCAUCAUUAAUUUCAGUUUGAGAGUUUGUGAGCUCUUAUAACUGAAAUAGAAACGCACAUCAAUCUUGCUGUCUGUGGGGUGUUGUGAUGAAUUUGUAAGAAGGAGGACCUGGAAAGCUCGUCAUUAUCAGCCUGAAUUGUUUCAGUUAGACAGAGAUCUGCAGGACAAAACACAAAAGGAUAUAUGGAUGGCUAUUGUCAUGCUGCACAGUUCCAUUUACUGGGAGCAAAAAUUGGGAUUACUCACUGCCACGUUCUUCCUCCACACUGAUCACAGUUAAAUGGCCUUCCUUCAGAAUGCAUCGCUUCGCUUCAGAAGGCCUUUAUUAACCCCCCAGAGCAGUGUGGAGUAUGUUUAUGAUGGAUGGAUGUGGAUGGAGACAGUUUAUUUCUAUGUUUGUGUAUAUAGGUACCAAUAAAGCCACUUGAAUCUUG
Molecule: long non-coding RNA, 551 nt
Organism: Megalobrama amblycephala (Wuchang bream)
Lineage: Eukaryota; Metazoa; Chordata; Actinopteri; Cypriniformes; Xenocyprididae
Exons: 4
Source: RefSeq, a predicted model, not a curated record